RNAcentral lists this ribosomal RNA (656 nucleotides) under uncultured bacterium. Its description in RNAcentral is "bacterial SSU rRNA". It matches the Rfam family "Bacterial small subunit ribosomal RNA", at positions 10 to 679 of the family's 1533-position model. The record is from RNAcentral.
ACUUUGAUCCUGGCUCAGGACGAACGCUGGCGGCGCGCCUCCUGCAUGCAAGUCGAGCGACGCACUCCUUAGCCCGUAAGGGCGGGUUUGACGGAGCGGCGAACGGGUGCGUAACACGUGACUAAUCUACCCCGAAGACCGGGAUAGACCGGGGAAACCCGGAUUACUACCGGAUGAUCUCACCGCAGCGCAUGUUGCGGUGUCCAACGGUUCAGGCGCUUCGGGAUGAGGUCGCGGCCCAUCAGCUGGUUCGGGAGGUAACGCCUCACCAUGGCAACGACGGGUAGCUGGUCUGACAGGACGAUCAGCCACACUGGAACUGAGAUCCGGUGCAGACUCCUACGGGAGGCAGCAGCAGGGAAUCUCGCGCAAUGGCCGAAAUCCUGACGCAGCCAUGCCGCGUGCGGCAUGAAGGCCUUGGGGUUGUAAACGCCUUUCACGAGGGAAGAAAAUGACGGUACCUCGAGAAGACGCUCUGGCUACCUACGUGCCAGCAGCCGAGGUAUUCUGUAGAGGGCGAGCGUUGUCAGGACUUAUUGCGCAUAUAGCGCUCGUAGGCGGCUGACUAGUCGGCCGUGACAACGCUGGCUCAACCAUGGGAGUCCGUCGUACUGUCAUGUCUAGGUCAGGUAGAGGGGAUGGCAUCCCUGUGUAGC